RNAcentral lists this unclassified non-coding RNA (429 nucleotides) under Hevea brasiliensis (rubber tree). Lineage: Eukaryota; Viridiplantae; Streptophyta; Magnoliopsida; Malpighiales; Euphorbiaceae. The record is from RNAcentral.
UUCUUGUGGAACUGUUUAUCAUGGACUGUGGUUUGGAUCAGAUGUUGCGGUUAAAGUAUUUUCCAAGCAAGAAUAUUCAGAUGAUGUCAUAUAUUCCUUCAGACAGGAGGUGUCACUGAUGAAACGUCUCCGACAUCCAAAUAUUCUUCUUUUCAUGGGUGCUGUAACUUCACCUCAACGCCUCUGUAUUGUGACAGAGUUCUUGCCACGAGGAAGUUUGUUUAGAUUACUACAAAGGAAUGCAUCCAAACUAGAAUGGAGACGACGUAUUCACAUGGCUUUAGAUAUUGCUCGUGGCAUGAACUAUCUUCAUCAUUUCAACCCACCUAUAGUUCAUCGGGAUUUGAAGUCUUCAAAUCUUCUUGUGGACAAGAACUGGACCGUUAAGGUUGGGGACUUUGGUCUUUCACGGCUUAAGCAUGAGACAUA